GAAACACUUCAGGAUUUGCAUGAAUUAUAGAAAACACUGAUUGAUCUGUAGCAUACAUAUACCUUGGAAGUAACAGAACUUUAUUUUAUGAUUGUGGACAUACUCACACAAGUUUGGUUGCACUUUUAUAGAAACAUCACUUACAACGGUUGCCAGAUUUCCUGUCUCAGGACAAUGCACCUGACGUUAAGGGCCAGUUCCUAUAACAUCAUUUUACUUCGAAGUCACCUUUUGAUAAGAGCAGGGUGAGGAUGCAGAUGCAGAGUCAGCGAGAAUGCACAGUUCAUUGCAUCACAGUUGGUUCCAUUACUUCAUUUGUCCAUGGUAGAUAUUGCUAAAUUACUAUGAGAUUCAACCUUUUAUUCUUGUUUCUACUAAAGUGGCUCUAAUUUUUUUU
RNAcentral lists this long non-coding RNA (397 nucleotides) under Homo sapiens (human). Its description in RNAcentral is "HSALNT0142133". Lineage: Eukaryota; Metazoa; Chordata; Mammalia; Primates; Hominidae. The record is from RNAcentral.